This 397-nucleotide ribosomal RNA is filed under the name uncultured bacterium. RNAcentral's name for it is "bacterial SSU rRNA". It matches the Rfam family "Bacterial small subunit ribosomal RNA", at positions 28 to 419 of the family's 1533-position model. The record is from RNAcentral.
GACGAACGCUGGCGGCGUGCCUAACACAUGCAAGUGGAGCGACGAACCAGGCUUCGGCCUGGGGCAGAGCCGCGAACGGGUGAGUAACACGUGGGUAACCUGCCCUGAUGAUUGGGACAACCCGAGGAAACUCGGGCUAAUACCAAAUGUGCCCUCCGACCAUAAGGUCGCUGGGGAAAGGAAGCUUCGGCCUCCGCAUCGGGAUGGGCCCGCGGCCCAUUAGCUUGUUGGUGAGGUAAGGCUCACCAAGGCAACGAUGGGUAGCUGGUCUGAGAGGACGAUCAGCCACACUGGGACUGAGACACGGCCCAGACUCCUACGGGAGGCAGCAGUGGGGAAUCUUGCGCAAUGCGCGAAAGCGUGACGCAGCAACGCCGCGUGGGGGAAGAAGGCCUGG